UCGAUAGUAGCUCAGUUUGUAGAGCUCCAUCCUUCCAAGCUGGUUUGCGCGAGUUCGAGCCUCGUCUGUCGCUCUA
This 76-nucleotide transfer RNA is filed under the name Flavobacterium sp. WLB. RNAcentral's name for it is "tRNA-Gly". It matches the Rfam family "tRNA". Rfam says of the family: Transfer RNA (tRNA) molecules are approximately 80 nucleotides in length. Their secondary structure includes four short double-helical elements and three loops (D, anti-codon, and T loops). Lineage: Bacteria; Pseudomonadati; Bacteroidota; Flavobacteriia; Flavobacteriales; Flavobacteriaceae. The record is from RNAcentral.